Nyctereutes procyonoides (raccoon dog) is the source of this 889-nucleotide RNA transcript. It is a transcript of the gene named lysozyme like 4, with no coding region annotated. The record is from RefSeq and is a predicted model, not a curated record. The transcript has 4 exons. Lineage: Eukaryota; Metazoa; Chordata; Mammalia; Carnivora; Canidae.
GGUGUAGGUGGAUGGAGGCUGAGCUCACUGCUGCACCUGGUUGAUACCACCUUUUAGGAGAAUCAGAAUGCUGCCUGCUUCUGCCACACAGGGAAUGGAAUAUUAGCUCUUUCCUCAGACUCACCAUCGCUGCUGGCAGAAAAAUCAGAUUGUGCCUCUUACUUCCGUGGAGUGAGGGCGUGGGUGGAAGAUCAAUCCUUUUACCCCCUUAUGUUUCUGCUCAAAUUGCCAGGGCAAGGUGUGGUUUUUAAAUUGGUGUUUGAUUGGAGUAGGAGUUCCUGAACCGUGGACCUAAGACUCCACUGGGAGAGUCUUCCAUAAGACAGCAGCAUCUUUUACAUCUGGGUGAAACAGCUCCUACCACCUACACAUUCCUCGUACUCCAGGCCAGUGCUGACAUGAAGGAUGGCAGGAGCCCCUCUGUGAGGGGCUUGUGACCUUCAGGUUCCCAAGAAUGUCUUCACCCAGGUAUCCCUCACAUCACAGGGCCUGUGGCAGUGGCCUCCUACUCUGGACUUCCUCAGCCCAAGCCUCCCUGUGGCCAUGAUGCAGAAGAACUCCUACCAUGGCUUCCCAGGCUGGAGCUUCACCUGGUGAUCUUGCCAGGCCCUUGAGGUCCAGGCUCUGCGCCCAGUGUGGAGCUAACAUGGGGCUUGAACUCAGGACCCUGAGAUAAUGAUCAGAGCUGAGAUCAAGAGUUGGAUGCUUAACUGACUGCGCUUCCCCGGUGCCUCUGAGAAGCAGUAUUUUAAAGAGCUACCCAGGUAUGAUUCUUGUGCUUCCAAUGUCUGAGAACCAUCAGAAGGACCCCCAGUAGCCUCCAUCAGCUGAUACAUAGUCUGUUCUGCUUCUAGCUUCUUUGUUUCCAGUGGUGGAGGAUGAGGAGCUC